UACGUAGGUGGCAAGCGUUGUCCGGAUUUACUGGGCGUAAAGAGCGCGCAGGCGGUCGUCCAAGUCGCGUGUGAAAGCCCCCCGGCUCAACUGGGGAGGGUCACGCGAUACUGGUCGACUCGAAGGCAGGAGAGGGUAGUGGAAUUCCCGGUGUAGUGGUGAAAUGCGUAGAUAUCGGGAGGAACACCAGUGGCGAAGGCGACUACCUGGCCUGUUCUUGACGCUGAGGCGCGAAAGCUAGGGGAGCAAACGGG
RNAcentral lists this ribosomal RNA (254 nucleotides) under uncultured bacterium. RNAcentral describes it as "partial 16S ribosomal RNA". It matches the Rfam family "Bacterial small subunit ribosomal RNA", at positions 524 to 776 of the family's 1533-position model. The record is from RNAcentral.